UUGUCUCUGUUAUCAUCACCCUUGUUUAUUUAUUUUUGGUUGGGUGGACGGGAUUGUAAGGUUUGAUCAGCGUAUCGUUACAAUUAUCCAUUGUUAUGAUGUUUAUUACCUUAGUGUAACCACCUAAGCCCACCGGCAGAUAUUGUCUUCUUUGGACUUUCCCUUUUGGGCUUCCCCUCAAGGUUUUAAAACGUAUCUAAUAGGGAGAGGUUUCAAUAUCCUUAUAAGGGAUGUUUUGUUCCCCCUCCAACCAAUGUGGGAUCUCACAA
This is a long non-coding RNA of Cucurbita moschata (crookneck pumpkin), 269 nucleotides long. RefSeq lists it as uncharacterized. Lineage: Eukaryota; Viridiplantae; Streptophyta; Magnoliopsida; Cucurbitales; Cucurbitaceae. The transcript has 2 exons. The record is from RefSeq and is a predicted model, not a curated record.